UGACAUGACCCCAGUGCCCCCUUCGCAAGAAGGGCGCUGUGACUCCAGGUCGCCCAAGAGGGCCUGCUGGCCCCUGACCUUGGGCCAGCCACACUGGCCGCCCGGCGCUCUUACGUCUCCCGCGCCGCCAACUCCGCCGCGGCCGGCGCGCGCCGCGGGCGGGUCCAGGCCGCCCCGGCCCCGCCCGCGCGGUCCCCAGCCCUGAUUGACACUGGAGUUGGAACAUACGGGUCUGCGCGGAGGCGAGCAGGAGGGCGAGCGCUAUUUUAAACAUGGCUUUCCCUCUCCCCGAGCCCCAGAGCCGCCGCGGCGCACCCAGCCGCGGGCGCAGCCCUCACGGGAACACUCCCAACAUCCGCGCGGGCUGUUUUCUGUACUUAGCUUCAGCUCCCCGUUUCGAUCUCGUACCACUACUUGUCCUCUCGCUGCCUUCCCUCCACGCUAAUCAAACCUGCCAGUUGGCGAAGAGGAAACUCUCCUCCUGAAAGGGAGGGGGGUCGGGGAUGGGAACGCAACACCGCUUUUGCUGCUUCUCGUCGGAGCUGGAAACCAUGCCCGCGAGAAUGAGUUCGUAAAGCGGGGAAGCCGCGUCGCCAGAGGGAAAGUAACAGUCAGACAUCGAUGAGGAUGUCUGCAACAGGCAUCCGAAAACAAGCGUGGAGAAGCAGAGAUUCCCGACGCCCGAGUUGCUACCGCGCGCGCACUGUGCGACCCACCGCGAUGACAGGAUUUGUUGUAAGCACAAUUGGAAGGCCUUCGAAAAUCUUUUCUCGGGCCUUCCUGAGACUGGUCCCGUUGCCAGUCUGGAUUCCUAUGUAGAGGCAGCUCUACCAAAAUCUCCAAGUGCUGAGUGUCAACUCCUUCAGCAAUGCAACAGUUCUUCAUUUCUCUUCCUAGCAACACCCCAUGUUCCAGUUCCUACUGAACCUAGCUGUGGGCUUCAGCUGCCUGGCAAGUCACUGAAUUACUGAGAAGUCACAUGAACAACUAUCCACAUAAAAUAUAUCUAUAAACUGAAUAUGUAAUAUUAACAGUCACUGUGCUAUGGCUUCCACUGUAUGGCAAACCUUUUGCCUACAUUAUAUCAUUAAUCCUCACAAAAGUGCUAUGGGGUUGAUAAAUGAUCACUUCCAUUUUAUAAGUGAGGAAACAACUGCAGAGAGGGUAAGCAAAUUGCUCAAGAUCAUGAAGCUAGCAAAUGAAUAAGCUGGUCUGCAAAUCCAGGUCAUUUAAUCCCAAAGUACCAAAAUCCUCUACUUAUUCACAGCAUUAGUAUGUCUUUCUUGUUUGUAUUGCUUUUUAAGUAAAUUCUUAUGUGUUUUGAGUUAAAAGUUAUACACUUUAAAAUAUCAUAUAGUUUAUAGUAAAUUUUGUCUUUUUACUAUUUUUUUACCCUGGAAGUACCUUAACAAUCGCAGACUUGAUGUGAUAGAAUAUUUUUAACAGCUCUUUAACAAUCUUGCUCAAAACCUUUUAAAAAUAGAACAGAGAAAAAUGACUUUAUAAGUCAAUGUACAUCUUACUUGUAAUAGUUCUGUAGCACCAUUCUGCUAUACCUUAGAAAAGACCCCAUCCCUGAUUGUCCUUCUAAAAAGUGAGUAAUAAUCCAUUUUAUAUUUCAAACCAAGCUAAUUUGUCAUAAAGCCUAUUGCAUAGGCUUUGUCCAGGAACUUUCUGCAUUGGAUAAUUCUUUCCAAAAUGCUUGCCUUUGGCCCUCAUUUUACUGAAGCUUAUUUCUCAACUCUUUCCUUAACAAGAUUUGAAAUGUAGUUACGCUUGAGAGUUUUUAUGUCUGAAAAUGAAUUUGAUUCUUCCUCUUGCUCAAUCAUUUGAUUGGGUAUUAUGUAUUGUUUUUCUAAUAUGUAGCAACUAUGCAAAGAAAUCUGAUCUCAAAUUGAACUCUAUUUCUUAUGUUUUCUCUUUCAAAAUUGUAACUGUUUUUCAUUAUCUUUGUAAUUUUUAUUUUUAUGAUAAUGUGAUGUAGUAAAAUAUGUUUUCAUUUAGCAUGCAGAAAAAAUAAACAAUGACACAACUCAAGAAUUUGAACUACACUAAAAUAGUCAAUUCUUAUCCAACAAAUGGAAAUUUUUUAAAAAGUGAAAUUAGGUUAUCUGACUGGCUAUUCAUUUGUUUUUUUUUUUUUUCAGCCUUCCAAAUGUAUUGGCUUCUAUCAGGCAUUGAGUUAGGAACUAGAAAUACAGUCAUCGAGACAAAAAGGGUGUUUAUCAACUGCAAGAAAAUGUGUCACCGAAUAAUUACUUCACCUGCUAAAACCCUUUCAUUCUUUAACAUUUGUAUCCUAGAGACCUUCACCCAAAAGCAAAAAUUAGACAUAUAGGUCAAUUAGAAUUUCACUCUAGGCCGGUGCCAUGGCUCAAUAGGCUAAUCCUCCACCUCCAGCGCCGGCACCCCAGGUUCUAGUCCCUGUUGGGGCGCCGGGUUCUGUCCCGGUUGCCCCUCUUCCAGUCCAGCUCUCUGCUAUGGCCCGGGAGUGCAGUGGAGGAUGGCCCAAGUCCUUGGCCCCUGCACCCCAUGGGAGACCAGGAGAAGCACCUGGCUCCUGGCUUCGGAUCAGUGCAGUGCGCCGGCUGCAGCGCGCUGGCCGCAGCGGCCUUUGUGGGGAGAACCAACGGAAAAAGGAAGACCUUUCUCUCUGUCUCUCUCUCUCACUGUCCACUCUGCCUGUCAAAAAAAAAAAAAAAAAGAAUUUCACUCUAAAGAAUCAUCUGGUCCCACCUGGUCUGUUCCCCAUCCCUCUGUAAAUUCACUGUCUGUGAGCUACUCUGCAGGGAUCUCAAAUGCAUGGCUGCUAACUGUAUCCUUAAGUUUAGCAUUUUACCAUAGAGCUCUGCGUGGGCACAAAGUGAGGGCUACAAAAUGCUUUCAGUUCUUCUUUUGCUUUUAAAGAAAAACUAUGGCUAAUAGAAUUUUUGAAAUCCUAUUUUAAACCUUUAGGAUAGAAUCGAAGCUAUGUUAGGAACAAUUUAAAGAGCUUUCAGCAAUCUGGGGAUCCUCAUCGUGACAGCCUUGUUGCCAUCCCCAGUGAUAAGGUCCACAUCUAAACCAGGGGUUUAGUCCCUGCUUCCGUUCCUGCGUGCUUCCUUUCCCUGUCUGCAUUACUUUUCCUAGCACCUUGCAAUACUGAAGCCCUGCUACCUGCUUGCUGGCAGACUUGUCUGGUGCCAUCUACUCAAGCCACCCAUCCUGGAACUUCCUUACCCAGGCUCUGCCUACCUGAUUAUGUGGUCAUGAACAUAGUCAGUCCUCUGUUUGUCUUAACUUUGACCUGAAUGUUGUACUGCCCAAGGAUAACCAUUUUUGAUUCAUUCAACAAAUAUUUAUUGAGUAUCAAGCAUUGUUUUAGACAUGGAAGUUGAAUAGUGGACCAAAUAUAUAAACACAGAAAAUAAUAUUUGCUGUUGUUUUGUCGCUUGUUGUGGUUUGAACAGGAUUUAGUUCCCCAAAUUCAUGCAGAUAUUUAAAGUCCAAAGUUUUAUUACUUAGUGAAAAAAAAGAUAUUCAACAGUUAACAGAGAUGGAUUAAGGAUGUAGAUAUGAUCUAAUUAUGGUGUUUGGGAGCUGAGCAUAGGGGAUGAUCUUUAGGUCUUUCAGGGCUUGGUUUUGGAAGAGAGCUCUCAUGAGAGGGUAGAUUAUAGAAGAAGAGCAUGUUCUCUGUGUCUUUAUGCUUCUAGCUUGCCAUGUGACUGUCAUUCCACCAGCCUCCAGCUUCACCAGUUGUAUGAAGCAACGGGGCCACUUAAUCUUAGACUGUGAACCUCCAAACUAUAAGCCAAAAUAAACCUUCCUUCCUAAGAAGCUCUUAUUAGAUGUUUUAGUUAAAGUAAUGAAAAGGUGACUAAUACAGAGCUUCACAUUCUAAUAUGUAGAUUUCAAGUCCUGGUGAACUACGUCAUCCCUUUAUCCACCAUUGCUGAAUACUUUUUCCUCUAAGUAAAAAUUCUAUAUAGUCUGCCAUCCCUUUGAAGUGAAUGGAACCCUCCUCUUAGACGAUAAAGAGUGUUAAAUGAGAAAAGGAAACACAACCAACAGCAAGUACACGAGGGUACUUAGAGAUCAACUUAAGGUAAGAUUUGGAAAAAUUCAAGGAACAAUGAAUAACUUUCAAAGUUUAUUGUAAAAAGAUGAACCAUGGGGCUGGCUUUGUGGCACAGUGGGUUAAGCUGCCACUUGCAGUGCCAACAUCCCAUAUGGGUGCCAGUUCAAGUCCCAGAGGCUAGGUUUCUGAUCCAGCUCUCUGCUAAUGCUCCUGGGAAAGUAGUGAAGGAUGGCCCAAGUGCUCGAGGCCCUGUCCCCAAGUGUGGGCCACCCCGAGGAAACUCUUGGCUCCUGGCUUGGGCCUGCACAGCCCCCACCAUUGCUGUAAUUUGGAGAGUGAGCCAGUGGAUAGAAGACCUCUCUCUCCCUGUCUCUCCCUCCUUCUCUCUGUAACUCUUUCAAAUAAGUAAUAAAAUAAAUCUUAAAACAAAAAAAUUGGGGUUCCAAGAUUGUGGAAUAACCACAGGGCAGUCUGAUUUAGGCUAAGUGAAAUUCAUAUAAAAAAGUGGAGUUUGUACACUCUCAGGGUAAAGCCACAGGGGAAACUGCAGUGAGAGAUCCUGUGAAAGCAGUAGAAAUGACCCAGACCUGUGCAGAAAGUGCAGACAUGAAGCAAGGUGCAAUGAAGCAACAAGCAACAAAGGAGCCAGUAGCUUGGAUCUGGGGAAAAGAAGCCUGCGCUGGCACACCAGGUGAGAUAUGACUGCACAGGCCCAUGCCGCUGUUGAUACAACUGGAGGGAGAGCUUAGUGAACUGCAUCUUUUGGAGUCCUGCCUGGAUCCUUCAUGGCAGUGGGACGAUUGCUCACCCGGGUGCAUGGGGGAGCAGUGCAUCUCUCUCUCUCUCUCCCCUCUUCCCCCCUAUAAGAGUGACCUGCAACUUGUGGUGGGAGGGGUGGCACCAUUAUUUGAACAUCAGCAGGCAGCAGCUGCUCUAGCUCUUGUGCAUGCACCCAGCAAUUAUCAGGGGCACCCUCUACCCAGUCAGCAGGGGCAACCAUAGCAGUUAAAAAGCAACUGAUGGGAAGGUCUCCAUCAUGCCAACUGCACCGACGCAGCAAUAGGUGGAGAGGGGGAGCCAUCCCUACAGCAGGGAAGUGCCGCCUGCGGGACUCUCCCACACACCCAGCACAACUGUAAAAUGAGCUGGGCUGCAGGUGGGUAUUGUGCAUGCCUAUGAUCCAGAGAUCUUACUAGAGAGAAAAACCCAUAUCCCCACUGGCAUCGAAUCUGGUUGGGAGGACCGGACUCAAUCUAGUGGGCUGGAACACAUAUGGACAGCAGCCCUGGGAACACCUCAGUACCCAUGUAGUCAGGAUGGGCUGGCAGGGAACAGUGGCCCUACUUGUACUCCUUGAUCCUGAGAGCCCUGGGAGCUGAGACUGAGAAAACACUGUGACUGCAUGAGAGGAGGCAGGGUGUAGCUGGGUUCCGGGCAAUCACAGAGGGCUGCUACACACUCUCAGAGCUCCUUGGUUGCCUAGAGCAGCUCAUAGCAGAGUGAACCGUGCUCACAGGAAGGACUAUGCAGAUAUAUGUGGUUCAUACAGCAGUGUGGAUGAGGGUUGAACACACCAGGAACUAACACUUGGGCCGUCCUCAGCUUGAAGGAGAAGGGGUGGUCACACCAAUAGAGGUGACCAUUCCUCUCCAUCUAGUUAACCAGAGGAGGGCUACCAUGCUUAACUUGGGUGUGACCCUGGAUACUUUCCCCAUCUUGGAGCACUGACCAGAGCUCCCUGGCCACACCCACCACAUACCUCUUGGGAUUCACUGAAAGUGUAGACAUAUCACUAAGCCACAGAAGGCAUAGCUCAAAGAUAAAAGCCAUCAGAGAAAAAAAAAUUCUAAAACGUCUAAAAAUAAAAGAAUAAAAAAAUAAAAGAAUAAGGAAGACACUAUGACUCCUCCCAAGGAACACAACAACCUUUCAAUAUUAGAAUGUGAAGAUAAAGAGAUUGAGGAAAUGCCUGAAAUGGAAUUCAAAAAAUUAAUCAUAAGAUCAUUCAAAAGCAAUCAGAGGCUGGCACCGCAGUUCACUAGGCUAAUCCUCUGCCUGUGGUGCCUGCACCCCACGUUCUAGUCCUGGUUGGGGCGCCAGAUUCUGUCCUGUUGCUCCUCUUCCAGUCUAGCUCUCUGCUGUGACCCAGGAGUGCAGUGGAGGAUGGCCCAAGUGCGUGGGCCCUGUACCCGCAUGGGAGACCAGGAGGAAGCACCUGGCUCCUGGCUUCAGAUAGGCACAGCACACCGGCUGCAGUACACUGGCCGUAGCGACCAUUUAGGGGUGAGCCAACACAAGGAAACCUUUCUCUAUGUCUCUCUCUCUCACUGUCUAACUCUGCCUGUCCAAAAAAAAAAAAAAAAAAAAAAGCAA
Long non-coding RNA from Oryctolagus cuniculus (rabbit), 6430 nucleotides. RefSeq lists it as uncharacterized. The record is from RefSeq and is a predicted model, not a curated record. Lineage: Eukaryota; Metazoa; Chordata; Mammalia; Lagomorpha; Leporidae.